UUUGAUUCUGUAAGGUAUGAAUAUUGUAAGAAAUGUACAAAUUUGAAGUUUUUUUUUUGUACAUCGUAUAAUUAAGUAACGCUAUAAACUUCUAAUUUUUACAUUAGGUAUAAAUCUGCAUCUACCACUCGCACGUUUAUGCAAUGUCAUGGGCCUACCUUGGAUUCAUUUGUUUUCGGAUUUGGAUACAUAUAUAUAAAUAAAUAGGGUCCGUUGGAUCUGAGACUAGGAUUUUAAAAGUCGGUUUUACCCUUUGCUAUCAAAAGUUUGACCAAGUCAUCUUCAAGUCACUGGCCCCGUCAAAGAAGGCGCGUAGGGGUUGUUAGGUGUGUUCGGUCCCUACUCCUAGCGAUCGUGAUUAUAAGAAGGAUCUGCGUUUCAGCACAUUCAAUUAUUUGACCAUUUCAUAAUUUUUCAUUUUAUAAAGAGUUUUUGGUCUGAAAAUUAGUUCUGACUUUACAUAAGAAACCCAAUUGAUUACCCCUAGUAUAACAACAAUUUGUAAGUCAUAUAAUUCACCCACUUGGAUCAUUAUCUUCUGUUAUUUUAAGUUCAUUCAUUUGGAAGAACCUUCUCUGCGCCAGACCAGAUUCAAGUGCAAACUCAUAUUAUAUGAUUUUUCAAAGAAAACUAUAUGAAAAUUGAGCAACUUGACAUAGAUUUUCAUGUGAUCUUAGCCAGCCAUGCACGACGUCCACACCAUUAUUGUAUUUGUUCAAACAACUGAUCAAUCUUGUCUGAGUCCAUGCAUCGCAUGCACCCCACUUCCUUUAAUAUACCCUUAAUUAAUUAUGUUACAUAGUAUUGCUUUUUUUGCUAGUAAUUAAAUAUUCCAUCGCUAGAUCAGACUUUUGAUUUUAAUAUUUGAACCAUUAAAAACUUAUAUAGAUGCGGUUACUUGUUUAUUUUAUCUUUUGUUUGGUUGUAAAAGGUUCGCUGUAUAUUUAAAGCCAAAAAGGUUAGAGACUUUUUGUUGCCGAUUAUGUUAAACUGGCUACAAAAUGGAUUUAGUGAUUUUUAAGAAAGAAAACAAACUACCAGCGAAUAUGUAAAUUUGGAUGCCGAUUCUAAUACAAUGGUUCCUAUGAUCUUUUACAGUUUCUUUCAUCACCACCACAUCAUAUUUCCUUAUAUAUUUAUUUUAAAACUUCAAUAUUUAGAAAUGGAAAAGGACUGUUUCGACUUGGGGGCCAAUUAUUAAUUGGACCCUAGAAGACCAAGUCAAGCCGUAUAAUAAAUCUUUCAAGCCGUGUAGAGUGUAGAGAAUAUAUAUAUACACUGCCGGGGCAAUUAUUAAAUGAUAAAUCCUUGAUUUCUCAUCCCUCUAACAAUAAGUGAAUAAACCCCCUCGAUUUCACGUUGUUUACUUACACCAGGACUGACUUACCCACAUCGUCUUCACCGUAUACAUUUCGCGCCGUGUAAAAUAAUACUUAACAUCUCUCGAAGGAUCAUAACAAGAUUACAAGAGCACUUCUUAUUCAUAAUUGACAUCACAGUUAGUUUACGAACCAAUAGCAUAGAAAUAAUACAAGACAAAUUCACUGUAACGAGAAACUUGUAGUCAAACCGUAGAUUAACAUUCAAAACUUCUUAUAAACAUCAUAGAUUCACAACAUAAAAGAAAACAUAUAUUUUAAAAAGCUUCUCAAACAUAGAUUGUUUAGUACUCUUUUCCUACUUCACUUAAUAAUACAAUCCAAUGCUAGUAAAAAAACACAGAUUACACUAAACAACUUAGGCUCAAAAAUUUCAUAAAAUCAAAAGAAAAGAAAGGUUCAAGAAGAGUCCACAAAUAAUGGCAAAAUAAAAAGGAAAAAAGAUAGUCAGGACAAGUAUGCCAACAAUAAACAUUCAAAUACUGACAAUCUUAAUUAAUAAUUGAUAAUCUGCUUUUAAUAAUCGGUAAUGUACUUUUGUUAAACACUGACAUCCAAUCUGGAAAUCAGUAAUGGCCACUUUGUAAUAUGUUCUUUCUUUUUGUAAAUAUAACAUCUAGUAAAGUAUGAAAAUGUGAAAAGAGAAAACAAAAAAUAAUUAAAAAUAUUUUUUUUUGAAAAAAUAAUAAUAACAAGAUUGAUGCGAAAAUGAUGAUAGGAAUAAAUAUCUACAAUUUAGAUUCAUUUAGUGAAAGAUGUUUUGAGAUUUCACUUUAAAUUGGAAAACAGACUUUAAAUUGGAAAAAUAUGGACAACGUGUAUGAUGUAUAACUAAAAAUAUACACCUAUACAAAUAUUGAUGAUCGUGAAUAGUCGUAAUAAACUAUUUAAAAAAAAUUAAAGCAAAGCAAAAAAAAAACUAAAUUUGGGUGAUAUCAGUUACAUAAAUUGUGCCAUAAGGAAAUCUCGACCAUUAACAUCCUUAAAAUUUUGAAUCUUUGAAAGGUUAGUUUAAAUUAAUAAUAUAUAGGCAAACAAAAUAGUCAACACAGAUCUUUAUCUCAAACAAAAUAACUUGUGAAAGGAAAAAAACAUGGAGAGGGGAUCUUCACGUGUAUUUUUAUUCAUCUUCUUCAUCAUGCUUGCUUCUGAUGCCAAUAAGGUGAUGGCAAAACCUUGCAACAACAAUUUAGGUGAUUGGCAACAAUGUGAUGAGAGGUGCAAAGCUAAGCACGGACCAACGUGUCAGGGUAGUUGUGACAACACUUUUAAACAAUGCAUCUGUAACAACGAGAGUGCAUCACCAGCGUCCAAAAUAUGCUAUAGCGGAGCUGGCCUGUGCACCACAAAAUGUUGGGACGAAUGUUGCAACAAAACUUGUGCUAGCAUGUAUUUGAACGGAGUUGGAUAUUGCGACAGCAUUGGCCAUAUUAAUCUAUGCAAAUGUCAGUAUCCUUGCUAACUAUUUGAUGUUUCCUGAUAAAACUGGUCAAUUUUAUAUUGAGAAAAUUCAGGUUAAAUAUCCUAAAUAAAUUAUUAUUAUUAU
This is a long non-coding RNA of Brassica napus (rape), 2925 nucleotides long. RefSeq lists it as uncharacterized. NCBI's taxonomy places the organism in Eukaryota, Viridiplantae, Streptophyta, Magnoliopsida, Brassicales, Brassicaceae. The record is from RefSeq and is a predicted model, not a curated record. The transcript has 2 exons.